AAGCCCAAGCAAUCACAGGGACAGGCCAUGGGGCGCAUUCGCCAGCUGUGUUGUAAAUGUCUGCACUCCAGGUUGAAUUUUUAUGUACUUGGAAUCACGUUGGAACCCAAACUCCGACAAUUUGAACUAAAAUAAAAGGGCCUGAUCACAAUGAGUAAUCUGAAGAAUCUGAGUUCUUGGAAGCGUAAAGAUGGCAAUCACAGC
Non-coding RNA from Miniopterus natalensis, 204 nucleotides. Lineage: Eukaryota; Metazoa; Chordata; Mammalia; Chiroptera; Miniopteridae. The record is from RefSeq and is a predicted model, not a curated record.